This 768-nucleotide ribosomal RNA is filed under the name Austrochloritis nundinalis. RNAcentral describes it as "partial large subunit ribosomal RNA". Lineage: Eukaryota; Metazoa; Mollusca; Gastropoda; Stylommatophora; Camaenidae. The record is from RNAcentral.
UUAAUUAAAUUUAUAUUUAUUAUAUUACACGAAGCUAAAGGAGCUAGUUUUUUAAUUUAUUAGAUACAGAGGUGUUGCAUAACUUUUAAAGAUUUAAAAUUAGGAGUGAUAGGCUUUACACAUUUAGUGAUAACUUGAUUACUAAUAAAGGUAUUAGUACAGAAACAUUUUGGAAAUGAUAAGGUUUUCAAAUAGAAUUAAUUAGAAUGGAGAAUAUAUAUAUAUAGUUUAAUCACUAAUGUAAUAAUAUAAUAUAAUUACACUUUAUAAAUUAUUUAACUUACUAGUAAAUGUUUAAAUUGUCAAGGCCAAAUAUAAUGUUAAUAUUAGUAUCAAUUAAAUAUUAUUAAUGAACUCGGCAAGAAGUCCUUUAACUGUUUAUCAAAAACAUAGCCGUAUGUAUAAAUAUACGGUGAUUUCUGCUCCAUGAAGUUUAAAUAGCCGCAGUACCCUGACUGUGCAAAGGUAGCGCAAUCAAUUGGCUUUUAAUUGAAGUCCUGUAUGAAAGAAAAUAUAAGGGGCUACUUUAUCUAUAAUAAUUUUUGAAUUUCCUAAUUAAGUGCAAAUACUUAUAUUUAAAUAAUAGACGAGAAGACCCUAGAAAUUUUAAGAAUAAUUCUUUUUGUUGGGGCAACAAAGUAGUAAAAUAUAAUCUACUAUUGUUACAUGAAAGAUAUAACUUGGAAGAUUAAAUUACUCUAGGGAUAACAGCAUAAUCAAUGAAAGUUUGUGACCUCGAUGUUGGACUAGGGAAUUAACAUUUAGAAG